Molecule: long non-coding RNA, 564 nt
Filed under: Androctonus crassicauda
Lineage: Eukaryota; Metazoa; Arthropoda; Arachnida; Scorpiones; Buthidae
Source: RNAcentral
UGGAGAGAUCACUCCCAUUGAGACUCCAUGACCAGCAGAUGUAUGAGCUGACCGAUGUCUCAGAUUACAUAUUAUAGCACUACUGAUAAGGUCUUGAACAGAGCCAUUAAAGAUGGGAACUGUAGGAUGGUCAGAAAAAGAAGUCUCAUGGUUUUUGCAGUGCUUUGCAAUAAAAAGGACCCAAUUCAGAGUGAUAGAAGGCCAGGUGUGUACUCUGUCCCUAUGUAUAAUAAUAAUGAGAAAUAUAGAGAGUAUCAUGUAGGAAGCACUAGAAAGUGUCUGAGUAAAAGACUAUAGGAGCAUAAAGCAGAUAUUCAAGCGGGGAGACUAACAACGGUGCUUGCGAUUAAAGCCUAUGAACAAGAUAUUAGUAUUGAAUGGGGUGAAGCAGGUCUAGUAUGAUACUUAUGGGAUACUAGAGGCCUUUCUAGCCUUGAAGCCAUAGUUAGAACAAAGAAAAUUUUGCCAAAUCAUGAUUGAUAAUAACAGCCCAAUGUCUCUACUCCCUCAUGGAGAUGGUGUGCAGUUAACUCAAUGUAAUCACGUGGAAUACUACUAUCAGAG